GACGAACGCUGGCGGCGUGCUUAACACAUGCAAGUCGAACGGAAAGGCCCUGCUUUUGUGGGGUGCUCGAGUGGCGAACGGGUGAGUAACACGUGAGUAACCUGCCCUUGACUUUGGGAUAACUUCAGGAAACUGGGGCUAAUACCGGAUAGGAGCUCCUGCUGCAUGGUGGGGGUUUGAAAGUUUCGGCGGUUGGGGAUGGACUCGCGGCUUAUCAGCUUGUUGGUGGGGUAGUGGCUUACCAAGGCUUUGACGGGUAGCCGGCCUGAGAGGGUGGCCGGCCACAUUGGGACUGAGAUACGGCCCAGACUCCUACGGGAGGCAGCAGUGGGGAAUAUUGCACAAUGGGCGGAAGCCUGAUGCAGCAACGCCGCGUGCGGGAUGACGGCCUUCGGGUUGUAAACCGCUUUCGCCUGUGACGAAGCGUGAGUGACGGUAAUGGGUAAAGAAGCACCGGCUAACUACGUG
RNAcentral lists this ribosomal RNA (468 nucleotides) under uncultured bacterium. Its description in RNAcentral is "partial 16S ribosomal RNA". It matches the Rfam family "Bacterial small subunit ribosomal RNA", at positions 28 to 507 of the family's 1533-position model. The record is from RNAcentral.